AUUAGCCUGGCUCUUUAGGAGAUCCAGAAUGAAGAAUAUGGAAAUAAUUGACUAGUCAGGGAAGAAGAAACGGCCAAACCAAACACAGAUGGAGAAGCAGAGACACCACGUUAAGGAAACACAGAGUGUUCACCCUCUAGGUCGCUUCAGAUGUUCAUGAGCAAACUGAGUUAGAGAAAUUGGGUGUGAUGUGAUCAUAGCCUCCUGGCUACACUUACAAACUGGAGCAACUUUAUAGUCAACGCCCAUCUGGCCUGCGCUGCCUCAAAAACACCACCUGAGUCAGAUCUUACCUGGGACACUUUAUGGACAGGUGCUCUCUAUUUGCAGAGCUGACACACUGGCAGCGAACCAUCCAAAUGUUUAAUGAAUGACAACACAUGGCGAGCAUGACCCGGAGCAGAGCCUGAGGCCACAGGAGAAGGAAGGACUGACAGGGCAGUAGUCCCCAUGGCAGGUGUUACAUGUAAAGAAGACACUGAGUGACGUUGCACAGAAAAACCAUAGCUCCCAUGAGUCUGCACAUCAUAAAGACAGAGCAAGGACCUGUCUCCAGUUCAGACUCUGAUGUUAUCAGUAUCGUCCCCAGAGUGUACAACAUCAAGAGUGAGUCCUAAUGUCCAGUGCAGACGUCGGGUGAUGAUGACCUAGGUCCCUCAGUUGUAACAGGCGCACCACCUGCUCGAGGAAGUUGAUCACCAGGAGGCUGUGCCUGAGUGGGGGCAGGGGGCAUAUGGGAAAUCUCUGUACUUUCCCCUCAAUUUUGAAACCAAAACUCC
This is a long non-coding RNA of Bos taurus (domestic cattle), 779 nucleotides long. The record is from Ensembl. NCBI's taxonomy places the organism in Eukaryota, Metazoa, Chordata, Mammalia, Artiodactyla, Bovidae.